UAAAGUGCUUGCAGUGCAGGUAGCUGGCGCUGGCGCUACUGCAGUGUGGGGGCUUGCAGC
This 60-nucleotide microRNA precursor is filed under the name Alligator mississippiensis (American alligator). Its description in RNAcentral is "Ami-Mir-17-P1d_pre stem-loop". The record is from RNAcentral. Lineage: Eukaryota; Metazoa; Chordata; Crocodylia; Alligatoridae.